UAUGGCCAUUUCCGAUGAUCUAAUAAUAAUUAAUCAUUGUAUUAGUCAUAGUUAGUCAUAAGAAGAAUGCUUGUCUCAGCUAUUUUCAUAUAAUUAUAAAUACGACUCCAGUCAUUUAUGAGUCAGUUCAUAAGUUGCUUCGCCGUGGAUCACAUAUUUUGUAAUUUCGUAAAAUAAAGUUUUUUUUAAAAAGCUUAGUUGCGAAUUACUGAAUAAAAUUGUAGUCUCAGUUUUUACGUGCUAAACUUUAAAAUAAAUUGUGCUAACAUGCUGGAAGAGGAUUCAGAAUGUUAGCACUCGUUCGAAAUAAUCAACAAAGUGAAAUUCCUGAAGUGGACAGGGUAUUACCUCCAGAACAUUCAAUGCCUGAAUCUAACCUUCAAACAGGCUAAAUACCAAAAGCAUCAGAACCUAUUAGUCAAGUCGAAUCUGAAGAAAUCACGUCACCCCUACUUUUCCUAACAGAAUGUACACCCAUAAGUACAACCCACCUUACUGGUUAUAACUGACUCUCAUAUAAGUGCAACAAAAACUAAUAUAAUAAUUGAAUGUCCUGAAGAUAUUGCUCAUGAGCUUGGCAUCACAGUCGAUGAUGGCGAACCAAAAUCAAACCAAGCAGAGCCUUCCACCUCAACUGGGAAAAAUAGUUUUUGUGUUCAAAAUCAGCAUGCAAAUAAUAAUUCUGAUGAUGAAAAUUCUUCACACUCUAAUGAAAGUUAUGAAUCUGACAUGCCUUACGGGCCAUCCAGUGAUAAAAAUGGCUCAAGCACUGACGACGAAGUUUUCAUAAAUGACGAAAACAGACAAGAAGCUGCAAAUCUUGCAAUUCCCAAAGAAAAGCAAGAGCGAAAGCGUUCUUUAAAGGGUCAAAGUGACUGCUCAUUAUGGCAAAAAAAUAUAAAUAUUGCUAAAAGAAGAAAAGGAGAAGACAACAUAGAUUGGGGCCAAAAAAAAGUAUUUGUUUCAGGACUAAUAGAUGUUUGUCCACCAAAAUCAAGAAAAAAUGAUCAACAAAAAAAUCUGUUACUUUAGUUUAUCACUUAAAAAAAGAUAACCAAAGGUUAAGCGUAUGCAAACAGAUGUUUUUAAAUAAAUUGGGCAUCGGAGAAUGGACUGCUAGAGAAUGGGCUUUAAAAGGACACCAUAAGUCUUCUCUUAACAUAGAAAAAUUAAAAGUUCAGCUAAAACCCAAACAAAAUAAACAUUUGGAAUCAUUUCUAAAUGUUCUGCCGAAAAUGCCUUCGCAUUACUGCAGGUCCCAAUCUAGCAAGUUAUAUCCCAAUAUAGCAAUUUAGAGUCGAUCUUUAAAUCCAAACAAGAAGUUUAUGACGUAUAUGUCGAAAACUGCGCUAAAGCCAAAGUAAAGCCAUUAUCCCUUACUCAAUUUAAAAAAAAAAUUUACACAAAUGAACAUUGAGUUAUUUCAACCUAAAAAAGAUCAAUGCGAUCUAUGUUGCAUGCACGAAGUAAAUAACCUAAGUGAGGAAAAAUGGCUGGAACAUCAACAAAGGAAGGAAGAUGCAAGAAAAGAAAUGCAAGAAGACACUAAUAAAGCUAAAUUAGAUAAAAGCACACUGGUGAUCACAAUGGACUUACAGGCGGUUCUUUUGUCUCCACUUUUGAAAGCCUCAGCCAUAUACUCCAAAAAAAACUAAUAUUUCACAACUUUACAUUGUUUAAUAAUGUUACACACGCAGUUUCCUGUUUCGUCUGGCAUGAGGGCGAGGGAAAUGUUACAGUUAAUGAGUUUUCCUCGUGCAUUGUAGACUAUAUUGAGAAAAAUCAUUAUGAACAAUUAAAAAAAAUAAUUCUAUGGAGUGAUGGUUGCACAUAUCAAAAUAGGAACUCUAUUUUAUCAAACGCACUUCUGCAAUAUUCAGCACUAAAAAAUGUGAGUAUUAUACAAAAGAUUUUAGAGAAAGGCUAUACACAAAUUAGUUGCGAUUCUGUGCAUAGCGUAAUAGAACGCAAAAUUAAGAAUAGAAUUAUCAGUGUUCCUGCUGAUUACGUGAAUAUAAUUGAAACAGCACGAAAACAUCCUAUGCCUUACAAUGUGAUUUAUUUAGAACAUACAUUUUUUAAAGCAUAUUCUAAUUUAAAAUAUUAUAGUUCUAUUCGUCCCGGAAAAAAGGCAGGUGAUCCAGUUGUUACAGACAUAAGAGCCUUGAAGUAUAAUGGAUCAAACCUUACUAUUGAAUACAAAUUGAAAAUGACAGAUAUUUGGCAGCCUAUACCUCAAAGACCAGGGAAAUUUUUAACUAGAAAGCCUGCGGAUUUAUAUACCACUGCUCCUGGAAUUCAAAAGAACAAGUAUGACCACUUGCAAGAGGUAACCAAAGUUCUUAAAGCAGACUACCAUCUGUUUUACAAAAAUUUAAAUUAUUAUUAAUUUAUAAAUAUUAUAAGUUUUUGUUAAAUAUUUCACAAAGUUUGUAAGUUU
Molecule: long non-coding RNA, 2440 nt
Organism: Anthonomus grandis grandis
Lineage: Eukaryota; Metazoa; Arthropoda; Insecta; Coleoptera; Curculionidae
Exons: 3
Source: RefSeq, a predicted model, not a curated record